This 255-nucleotide long non-coding RNA is filed under the name Capsicum annuum. Its description in RNAcentral is "long non-coding RNA (CANN_LNC003507)". Lineage: Eukaryota; Viridiplantae; Streptophyta; Magnoliopsida; Solanales; Solanaceae. The record is from RNAcentral.
UACGAUACAACUCACGAAAAGUGAUAUUUUCUCCACUAUGUUCUCCUAGCCAGGUGUCGUCGUUAGUUAAAAAUACCUCCUUAAUCUUUUGACGAUUCCACACAAUUGGGACUAUAAUAUUCUUAUCAAGUGUCUCCCUUCUUUUAAAACAGGUGUCUCCCUUCUUUUAAAACACAUUACAGUACUCUCAGAACAAAUCAACACCUCUUCAAUAGUAGGAGUCAAUUCAACAUCCCCAAAGCGAAAUACCAUAUU